CUUUCGCCCGCCGGCGACCGGCGCACGGGUGAGUAACACGUAUGCAACCUGGCCGCCACAGGGGGAUAACCCGCGGAAACGCGGCCUAAUACCCCGUGACGCCACCGGAGGGCAUCCUCCGGUGGCCAAAGGAGCGAUCCGGUGGCGGAUGGGCAUGCGGCGCAUUAGGCAGUAGGCGGGGUAACGGCCCACCUAACCGACGAUGCGUAGGGGUUCUGAGAGGAAGGUCCCCCACACUGGUACUGAGACACGGACCAGACUCCUACGGGAGGCAGCAG
This 278-nucleotide ribosomal RNA is filed under the name uncultured bacterium. RNAcentral's name for it is "partial 16S ribosomal RNA". It matches the Rfam family "Bacterial small subunit ribosomal RNA", at positions 78 to 354 of the family's 1533-position model. The record is from RNAcentral.